AGAGUUUGAUCCUGGCUCAGAUUGAACGCUGGCGGCAUGCCUAACACAUGCAAGUCGAACGGUAACGCGAGGAGCUUGCUCCUUGGCGACGAGUGGCGGACGGGUGAGUAAUACUUAGGAAUCUGCCCAUGUAGUGGGGGACAACUCGGGGAAACUCGAGCUAAUACCGCAUACGCCCUAAGGGGGAAAGCGGGGGCUCUUCGGACCUCGCGCUAUUGGAUGAGCCUAAGUCGGAUUAGCUUGUUGGUGAGGUAAAGGCUCACCAAGGCGACGAUCCGUAGCUGGUCUGAGAGGACGAUCAGCCACACUGGGACUGAGACACGGCCCAGACUCCUACGGGAGGCAGCAGUGGGGAAUAUUGGACAAUGGGGGCAACCCUGAUCCAGCAAUGCCGCGUGUGUGAAGAAGGCCUGCGGGUUGUAAAGCACUUUCAAUUGGGAAGAAAAGCAGUCGGUUAAUACCCGGCUGUCUUGACGUUACCUUUACAAGAAGCACCGGCUAACUCCGUGCCAGCAGCCGCGGUAAUACGGAGGGUGCGAGCGUUAAUCGGAGUUACUGGGCGUAAAGCGCGCGUAGGCGGUUUGGUAAGUCGGAUGUGAAAGCCCCGGGCUCAACCUGGGAAUUGCAUUCGAAACUGCCAGACUAGAGUAUGGGAGAGGAAAGCGGAAUUUCCGGUGUAGCGGUGAAAUGCGUAGAUAUCGGAAGGAACAUCAGUGGCGAAGGCGGCUUUCUGGACCAAUACUGACGCUGAGGUGCGAAAGCGUGGGUAGCGAACAGGAUUAGAUACCCUGGUAGUCCACGCCGUAAACGAUGACAACUAGAUGUUGGGAGGAUUUGCCUCUCGGUGUCGCAGUUAACGCGUUAAGUUAUCCGCCUGGGGAGUACGCCGGCAACGGUAAAACUCAAAGGAAUUGACGGGGACCCGCACAAGCGGUGGAGCAUGUGGUUUAAUUCGAUGCAACGCGAAGAACCUUACCUGGCCUUGACAUCCUCAGAACUUGUUAGAGAUAACUUGGUGCCUUCGGGAACUGAGUGACAGGUGCUGCAUGGCUGUCGUCAGCUCGUGUCGUGAGAUGUUGGGUUAAGUCCCGCAACGAGCGCAACCCUUGUCCCUAGUUGCCAGCACAUAAUGGUGGGAACUCUAGGGAGACCGCCGGUGAUAAACCGGAGGAAGGUGGGGAUGACGUCAAGUCAUCAUGGCCCUUAUGG
RNAcentral lists this ribosomal RNA (1209 nucleotides) under metagenome. RNAcentral describes it as "bacterial SSU rRNA". It matches the Rfam family "Bacterial small subunit ribosomal RNA", at positions 8 to 1207 of the family's 1533-position model. The record is from RNAcentral.